Molecule: long non-coding RNA, 3271 nt
Filed under: Triticum aestivum (bread wheat)
Lineage: Eukaryota; Viridiplantae; Streptophyta; Magnoliopsida; Poales; Poaceae
Description: long non-coding RNA (TAES_LNC027143)
Source: RNAcentral
GACAUAAAAGUGAUCUAACUCUAUUGAUGAGCACGACAGUACAUACCAUCCCAUCAUGAUGUUGCCAUCUCUCACACUUGAUGAUUACAUCUUGUUAUUUCUAACAUGUACACCAUCGGGCCAUUGCUUUAUUAGAAAUAUAUUUACACAAUAUGAUGAGAGCAACAUCAAGGAGUCGGAUGCUGGUGCACAGAUUCUCCUCAAAUUCCACAUGCAACCCUUGUAGAGAAGAAUGACAUAUUUUUCUUAGGUGAUUUUUGACCGAGCUCCUACAGAAAAAUUCAAACAAAUCAUGAGGAGCAUGGAGCCAAGCAAACUAAUCAGAGUAAAUCAUGAGAGGAGAAGCCUCUCAACCUACUACAGGGAAUCGAGUCAACAUUAAUUCGUGUAAGAAUUAAACCGUAAUGUAGAUCAACAACCCAGUAGUUGAUAAAAUAACCCUGACACAACCCAUUAAUACAAUAUAUGGUCACAGGAAGUAGAUUGAGAUUGUGCAGAUAUCAUGAUCUACGAACCGUAUCUACGAAUAUUGAUUGCAAAGUCACAAAUAGAACCUCCUCACAUCACAAAACAAAUGUUUCAUCAACAGAAACUCUAGCGAAUGCCAAUUGGAUUAUAUAAGUAAGAUAGAGACAUCGAAAAAAAGAAAAGAUAAUUCAAAGAGUAUAUAUUCUAUUUUAUUACUUGACAUCACAGAGAAUGCAAGUCAAAGAUAUUGCGAUACAUCUUACACUUCUAUAAAUUGACUGCAAGGCACAACCCCUAGCAAAAUAUACAGAAUGAAUUGCUCCUGUGAUCCAAGUAUUGCAUAAAUAGUUGUAUACAGACUAUUCAAUAGUGAGCAUAAACAUGGCAUGUACUAACAAAAUCCCUUUGCAAUGGAGCUUAGUCUGCAUGUCUAUCCGUCUUUUUGUAAAUCAGUUGUGGCCAAGAUGUGCUGACAGCUCACAAGCCUCUCCCCGUUUACCAAUAAAACCAAAGCAGCUCAAAGCAAAAAAAAGAACAUAGAUAUAUGAACCUGAUGCAAUUGCUUGUAACUCCAGAGUGUUGGUAGAGUCGAGAAGAGAACACUCAGCCAAUGUUACAGCAGAUCGAUCUGUAGUCUUUGUUAGGGACGGCACCAUCAUUAGAGGUCCCAAUUGUAAAUCAAUCUGCAAGAGAUGGAGAUGCAACUGGAAGCUUACGGAUUUGAUGCAUUAAAACAGCCAUGGCCCAUGGGCAGAGGAGAAGUGACGGCAGCUGGGGAUCUGACGUGUCACAGACAGCAUGGGUAGAGGAGAGGCGGCGGCAGAUCAAGCCUUGGGCGUGGCAGGCGGAAGCACACUCACCCCUAUUGCACCCUUCCUACUUCCCCGUCCUUCUUCUCCUACCUCUCCUCCUCCCUGGAUCCUCCUAUGUCUCUCUUUUCUACAAGAAAAAUCGAAGCCCCGCCAUGACCUUGAGCUCCCCCUACCAACCAUAGAAAUUAGAUAUUUCCUAAUUGUUUGCAUAAAAAACAUACUGGCUGCAAGAGAAUGAAAGACUAACCUAUUGAUGAGCACAACAGUACAUACCAUCCCAUUAUGAUGUUGCCAUCUCUCACACUUGAUGAUUACAUCUUUUUAUUUCUAACAUGUACACCACCGGGCGAUUGCUUUAUUAGAAAUAUAUUUACACAAUAUGAUCAGAGCAACAUCAAGGAGUCGGAUGCUGGUGCACAGAUUCUCCUCAAAUUCCACAAGCUGAAAUUGAAGAGAAAACUGAAAGAAAGCUAUUAGUAACACCAAUUUAACCAGACACACCACACCACUAAUGACAAAAUAAAAAUUUAGAAGUUCCUAAAGAGGCCUUAUAUAUAAGAAGUGCAAGAUAGUGAUGAAACUACCAAAGCCACCAGAUCUUAGUACAGAUUAGUUAAGUAGACACUACUAUUUAGUAAGGAUGAACUAUAUUAUGGAUUUGAUUGGAAUAAGAAAAUAUCCUAUAAUAGCAUAUUAUACAAAGGCACAUAAAACAAUAAAGAGAAGUAAAAGUGGUAGUGAUGAACUUAUAAUAAUAAUAAUAAAUAGAUAGCACAUGACUCUUUUUAUACGACUUAUCAGCAGAAUCAGUGAGCCACAAUGGAGUUUUCUUGGGCUCAGGCUUUCUGCACACUGCCAUAUAGACCAAGUCAAACAUGGGUGGGCGGCCAAGAAUGUUGGGUUAUAGUUUUACAGAUAAAGAGAGGAGAAAUCACUUUGGCCUAUGAGCACAUCAUAAGAGAAGGCAACAUCACACACACAUAAGUACUUGUAACUGAAUUUAAGGAGGGCACAAUAUGUUGACAUAGGUGUGCCUACCAAAAAGAAAUGUCUAAAUGAAGAAAAAUCAAGUGUUUAGUAAUAUAAUACUACAAUGAUGAUGCAGACUAAAGUCUAAAUCAUCAAUGGUAAAUCCAUGGCACACAAAAAUUCUUCUCCAUAAUUGAUUUGCUCUCUUCAUCCAAAUGCCCAAACUCAUCACAACAUAGCAAAAUAGCCUGAAUGGAAUAAACCAUAUCUGAACCAUCAUAUGCAAUACACGAACCAUGUACUGAACUUAAUUGAUGUAUUACUACUGAACAUAGCAGAUUAGUCUCUAUGUGCAUGUAUUACUAAUUUACAGCUGAGCAGCCACUCUAAUGUAAUGAACUUAAGAACUGUUUGUUCCUCUUAAGCAACCCUGCAGUUUUCAUGAAAACUUUGGUUGUAGUGGUCCUAAAAUCACAGAUACAUGUACCUCUACAUCCACUUGGAGCUUCUUUGCAGCUUCCUCUCUAUGUUGCUAGACCAAUCUGCAGAUAAAAAAGGAUAAGGUAAAUAAUUGUUGUUUUAUUUGCCAAUAAUCAAACAACUAUGAUAUAGUAAGAAAAAAGUUAGUGGAGGUAUGGGAAGGACAAGUAGUUCUACUACACACAGAUGAUUAGGGGUCAGAGGGAAUUCAAGAUAAACCAAGACAAACUUCAAAAUUUAGUCCUAUAGUUGAACAUCAAAUUCAAAGCAAACGGGGAAGAAUCAAUGGGUCAGGGGUAAGGAUGCAACUGUGUGGGGGGGGGACAGCCCACUAAGCCGCUGCGCCGUCCCAUGAAGAAAACCCGCAAAACGGCGCCGGACCAACCACAUCAUGUCAAGCGGUCUCAAAUAGUCCAACCGCUUUGUCCAGCGGACGUCGCACAGUCUCGUGUAUCCUGCGAAAGGGAGAAAACUCUCCUGAGAAUUCCUGUCCUUCUCGACGCGAUAGAGGUGCGCGACUGUAUUGUAUAACAGGCUCAUCC